This 76-nucleotide transfer RNA is filed under the name Allofournierella massiliensis. Its description in RNAcentral is "tRNA-Pro". It matches the Rfam family "tRNA". From Rfam's summary of the family: Transfer RNA (tRNA) molecules are approximately 80 nucleotides in length. Their secondary structure includes four short double-helical elements and three loops (D, anti-codon, and T loops). Lineage: Bacteria; Bacillati; Bacillota; Clostridia; Eubacteriales; Oscillospiraceae. The record is from RNAcentral. RNAcentral also lists the same sequence under 4 other names.
CGGGGUGUAGCGCAGCUGGUAGCGCGCCUGCUUUGGGAGCAGGAUGCCGUGGGUUCGAAUCCCGCCACUCCGACCA